GGGCCCAUAGCUCAGCGGCAGAGCAACUGGCUCAUAACCGGCAGGUCGCAGGUUCGAAUCCUGCUGGGCCCACCA
RNAcentral lists this transfer RNA (75 nucleotides) under Chloroflexota bacterium. Its description in RNAcentral is "Chloroflexi bacterium (soil metagenome) tRNA-Met". It matches the Rfam family "tRNA". Rfam says of the family: Transfer RNA (tRNA) molecules are approximately 80 nucleotides in length. Their secondary structure includes four short double-helical elements and three loops (D, anti-codon, and T loops). Lineage: Bacteria; Bacillati; Chloroflexota. The record is from RNAcentral.